GAUUAACGCUAGCGGCAGGCCUAACACAUGCAAGUCGAGGGGCAGCAUAAGUUUGAUUUUGGUAAAUUUGAUGGCGACCGGCGGACGGGUGCGUAACGCGUAUGCAACCUACCUGUAACAGGGGGAUAAUCCGGAGAAAUUCGGUGUAAUACCCCAUAACACUUUCGGAGGCAUCUUUGGGAGUUAAAAGAUUUAUUGGUUACAGCUGGGCAUGCGUGACAUUAGUUAGAUGGUAAGGUAACGGCUUACCAUGACUACGAUGUCUAGGGGAACUGAGAGGUUUAUCCCCCACACUGGUACUGAGACACGGACCAGACUCCUACGGGAGGCAGCAGUGAGGAAUAUUGGUCAAUGGAAGGAAUUCUGAACCAGCCAUGCCGCGUGCAGGAUUACAGCUCUAUGAGUUUUAAACUGCUUUUGUAAGAGGGUAAAGUACAGUACGUGUAUUGUUUUGAAAGUAUCUUACGAAUAAGGAUCGGCUAACUCCGUGCCAGCAGCCGCGGUAAUACGGAGGAUCCGAGCGUUAUCCGGAUUUAUUGGGUUUAAAGGGUGCGUAGGUUGUAAUGUAAGUUAGCGGUGAAAUACCAUAGCUCAACUAUGGGGCCGCCGCUAAAACUGUGUUACUAGAGAUUGGAUGCAGUAGGCGGAAUGUGUAGUGUAGCGGUGAAAUGCAUAGAUAUUACACAGAACACCGAUUGCGAAGGCAGCUUACUAAUCCAUAUCUGACACUGAAGCACGAAAGCGUGGGGAUCAAACAGGAUUAGAUACCCUGGUAGUCCACGCAGUAAACGAUGAUAACUCGUUGUUGGCGAUAUACAGUCAGUAACCAAGCGAAGGCGAUUAGUUAUCCGCCUGGGGGAGUACGUUCGCAAGAAUGAACUCAAAGGAAUUGACGGGGGCCCGCACAACCGAAGAACUUGUGGUUUUAUUC
This 931-nucleotide ribosomal RNA is filed under the name uncultured bacterium. RNAcentral's name for it is "bacterial SSU rRNA". It matches the Rfam family "Bacterial small subunit ribosomal RNA", at positions 28 to 952 of the family's 1533-position model. The record is from RNAcentral.